GAUUACCGAUGAUGAUUAUUGCUAAACUAUGGAAUUACCGUCUGAGUUUAUUCUUUGACGAGAAAAACGCUGGCUUACUGAGGUUUCCC
Molecule: non-coding RNA, 89 nt
Organism: Arabidopsis thaliana (thale cress)
Lineage: Eukaryota; Viridiplantae; Streptophyta; Magnoliopsida; Brassicales; Brassicaceae
Source: Rfam